Molecule: unclassified non-coding RNA, 301 nt
Filed under: uncultured fungus
Lineage: Eukaryota; Fungi
Description: partial contains small subunit ribosomal RNA, internal transcribed spacer 1, and 5.8S ribosomal RNA
Rfam family: Eukaryotic small subunit ribosomal RNA (bases 1-73)
Source: RNAcentral
UCAAACUUGGUCAUUUAGAGGAAGUAAAAGUCGUAACAAGGUCUCCGUUGGUGAACCAGCGGAGGGAUCAUUACCGAGUUCUUGGCUCCCAAACCCACCGCGAACCCUACCUCUCGUUGCCUCGGCGGCCGGCCACGGGGCCGCCGCCGGGGGCCCCCCCGAACCCUCUGCUUGCAGGCUCGCAACCGCCCCGGCGCGGGGAGAGCGUCUUCUGAGCAGCCCCCAGCGGGCGCAGCACAAGAAACGAAUCAAAACUUUCAACAACGGAUCUCUUGGCUCUGGCAUCGAUGAAGAACGCAGC